AUUGAACGCUAGCGGGAUGCCUUACACAUGCAAGUCGAACGGCAGCACGGACUUCGGUCUGGUGGCGAGUGGCGAACGGGUGAGUAAUGUAUCGGAACGUGCCCAGUAGCGGGGGAUAACUACGCGAAAGCGUAGCUAAUACCGCAUACGCCCUUAGGGGGAAAGCAGGGGAUCGCAAGACCUUGCACUAUUGGAGCGGCCGAUAUCGGAUUAGCUAGUUGGUGAGGUAAUGGCUCACCAAGGCCGCGAUCCGUAGCUGGUUUGAGAGGACGACCAGCCACACUGGGACUGAGACACGGCCCAGACUCCUACGGGAGGCAGCAGUGGGGAAUUUUGGACAAUGGGGGAAACCCUGAUCCAGCCAUCCCGCGCGUGCGAUGAAGGCCUUCGGGUUGUAAAGCACUUUUGGCAGGAAAGAAACGGCGCGUGCUAAUACCAUGCGCAACUGACGGUACCUGCAGAAUAAGCACCGGCUAACUACGUGCCAGCAGCCGCAGUAA
Molecule: ribosomal RNA, 500 nt
Filed under: uncultured bacterium
Lineage: Bacteria
Description: partial 16S ribosomal RNA
Rfam family: Bacterial small subunit ribosomal RNA
Source: RNAcentral